AGUGAACGCUGGCGGUAGGCCUAACACAUGCAAGUCGAACGGCAGCACAGGAGAGCUUGCUCUCUGGGUGGCGAGUGGCAGACGGGUGAGGAAUACAUCGGAAUCUACUCUGUCGUGGGGGAUAACGUAGGGAAACUUACGCUAAUACCGCAUACGACCUACGGGUGAAAGCAGGGGACCUUCGGGCCUUGCGCGAUUGAAUGAGCCGAUGUCGGAUUAGCUAGUUGGCGGGGUAAAGGCCCACCAAGGCGACGAUCCGUAGCUGGUCUGAGAGGAGGAUCAGGCACACUGGAACUGAGACACGGUCCAGAAUCCUACGGGAGGCAGCAGUGGGGAAUAUUGGACAAUGGGCGCAAGCCUGAUCCAGCCAUACCGCGUGGGUGAAGAAGGCCUUCGGGUUGUAAAGCCCUUUUGUUGGGAAAGAAAUCCAGCUGGCUAAUACCCGGUAGGGAUGACGGUACCCAAAGAAUAAGCACCGGCUAACUUCGUGCCAGCCGCCGCAGUAA
RNAcentral lists this ribosomal RNA (506 nucleotides) under uncultured bacterium. RNAcentral's name for it is "partial 16S ribosomal RNA". It matches the Rfam family "Bacterial small subunit ribosomal RNA", at positions 29 to 523 of the family's 1533-position model. The record is from RNAcentral.